Molecule: ribosomal RNA, 337 nt
Filed under: uncultured Glomeromycotina
Lineage: Eukaryota; Fungi; Glomeromycota
Description: eukaryotic LSU rRNA
Source: RNAcentral
ACAGCCUUGUGGGUGUGUUUUGUGGAAGGUGAGGAGCUGAUACCUUCUUGCUUUGCAUAUUUGUGCUCUUGGGAUACUUGCCCGUGCGACUGGUUAACAUCAAUUUCGGCGGUCAUAAAAUGACUGGAGGAAUGUAGCUUCGAUCUCGUAUUGAAGUAUUAUAGCCUUCGGUAGAUGUGAUGAUCAAGAUUGAGGAUUGCAACGGAUACCCUUCGGGGCUACCUGUCUGGUCUCUGAUCGUUGCUCUGGUGCCGAAAGCUUGCUUACGGUUAUCAAAGUCGAUGGUCAAUAGGUUAGAACGGGUUAAAUUCGUUAAGGAUGUUGACGUAAUGGCUUU